CCUAGUAACGGCGAGUGAAGCGGGAAGAGCUCAAGCUUAAAAUCUCCAUGUUUUACAUGGCGAAUUGUAGUCUAUUGAGGCUGUUGUCAGCAUAGCGAUUUGGGAUAAGUCCCUUGGAAAAGGGCAGCACAGAGGGUGAUACUCCCGUCUUUGCUCAGAUUGUCUAUGUGUACGAUACGCUUUCUUUGAGUCGAGUUGUUUGGGAAUACAGCUCAAAGUAGGUGGUAAAUUCCAUCUAAAGCUAAAUAUUGGUGCGAGACCGAUAGCGAACAAGUACCGUGAGGGAAAGAUGAAAAGAACUUUGAAAAGAGAGUUAAAGAGUACCUGAAACUGUUGAAAGGGAACCGUAACAUGUCCAGUGUUGUAUCUUGUGCAUAUUUCAUUAGUGGAGUAAUUUACUGGUGCCCUGUGCAUGAGUGUGACGUCAAAGUCAGUUUGUAUGCUGCGGGAGAUGGUUAGCAAGGAGGUGCGUCACUUUUGUGUCAGUUAUACCUUGUUAUCUAGUAGCCGUGGUUGAGACUGAGGUGCCUACAACAUGCUUAUAGAGUAUAUUGUUGUCUCGUUAUUAUACCUGUUUGGAUAGCUUGCUAUGCUGAUGGUCUAUAGUGGCGAUUGAUGAUGGUAUUAACUUUUUGCUGUUCGGGACUUUGACGAAUGGAAUGU
RNAcentral lists this ribosomal RNA (663 nucleotides) under Achlya caroliniana. RNAcentral describes it as "LSU rRNA". It matches the Rfam family "Eukaryotic large subunit ribosomal RNA", at positions 79 to 642 of the family's 3401-position model. The record is from RNAcentral. Lineage: Eukaryota; Oomycota; Saprolegniomycetes; Saprolegniales; Achlyaceae.